This 460-nucleotide long non-coding RNA is filed under the name Gallus gallus (chicken). Lineage: Eukaryota; Metazoa; Chordata; Aves; Galliformes; Phasianidae. The record is from RNAcentral.
CAAGUAGCGAUACUGCAUGCGUAAGGCCUCUGAUUUCUUGAUGAAAUCUUUGAUUUCAAAGGGCAGCUUCUUGCAAAAGUUGAGAACCUCUGCAGUCUCUGCCUUGACUUCAAUGUCCCCUGUUGGCAUUUUCGGAUUCUCCUGCCCUGGGGGCCGAGAAGACACGAUGCCAGUCACUCGUACAACAGAUUCCACUGGGGCAUUGGAUAGGAGUUUUCUCACAUGAGAAUGUGCUUCAUCCUGUGGAAUGAUGAUCUGGGUGAGCCCCUGGAAAUCCCUCAAAACCAGGAACAGGCCUUGUCUUUGGUACUGAAUCCAUCCACACAACGUGACCUCCUGCCCUACGUGAGCAGCACGCAGCUCUCCACAGGUGUUGGUCCGAGCGGCAAAGCUAUUGACAUCUGGAGCCCGGUGCACCCAGCCACUGCUCAGCCGGGCCCGCUCGGUGCCCCGCUGAAAU